GACGAACGCUGGCGGCGUGCCUAAUACAUGCAAGUCGAGCGGACUUUCAAGAAGCUUGCUUUUUGAAAGUUAGCGGCGGACGGGUGAGUAACACGUGGGCAACCUGCCUGUAAGACGGGGAUAACUCCGGGAAACCGGGGCUAAUACCGGAUAAUAUCUUUCUUCGCAUGAAGGAAGGUUGAAAGGCGGCGCAAGCUGCCGCUUGCAGAUGGGCCCGCGGCGCAUUAGCUAGUUGGUGAGGUAACGGCUCACCAAGGCGACGAUGCGUAGCCGACCUGGGAGGGUGAUCGGCCACACUGGGACUGAGACACGGCCCAGACGCCUACGGGAGGCAGCAGUAGGGAAUCUUCCGCAAUGGACGAAAGUCUGACGGAGCAACGCCGCGUGAGCGAAGAAGGUCUUCGGAUCGUAAAGCUCUGUUGUCAGGGAAGAACAAGUACCGUUCGAAUAGGGCGGUACCUUGACGAUACCUGACCAGAAAGCCACGGCUAACUACGUGCCAGCAGCCGCGGUAA
RNAcentral lists this ribosomal RNA (515 nucleotides) under uncultured bacterium. RNAcentral describes it as "partial 16S ribosomal RNA". It matches the Rfam family "Bacterial small subunit ribosomal RNA", at positions 28 to 523 of the family's 1533-position model. The record is from RNAcentral.